AAGGGGAAGUUGGAGGAGGGGGAGGAAAAAGAAGACGUAGAAGAAGAAGAACAAGAGGAGGAAGCAAGAAAGAGAUGGAAAGUGAGAGCGAGAGAGACUUAGCGACCCAGAAUGUUGAAGCAAGGAGUGACGAAGAAAAUAAAAGUAAAGAGACAAAUGAAAAUAUAACUAACUUGGAGGCGGAAGAAGGUAAAGCUCGUCAAGGGUCUGGCGAUAAAAAAGGGAACCUGAGGGAGGGGCGAGGAACUGAGGUAGAAAACAAAACAACUGAGGUGGAAGGGAAGCAACAACAACAACACACAGCUCGUAAGAGUGAACACGGAGGCGCUGACGGCGAAGAAGCGUCCUUGAGCAGCGUCCGAAACCCGAAGGCCACCAAAGGGGACCCUGAAGCCAGACCUAGAGACGCUGGGAUGAAUGGAGCACCGCAGUUUUCAGACGUCGCCAAACAGAUAAUGAAAGAAGUUCAAGAGACACGUAACAGACGCAACAAGUGCUUGAGGGACCUGCGCAGCAUGAAGCCCAAGGCCGCCAGAAUCUACAUAGCGAGGAGGUACAAGGAGAGAGCGGCGGAAAAGAAGACGCCACAGUCGGCAUCAUUGGGCAUAUCUGAAGGACAAAAGGAUGAGGACAGUCUUAAGUCGUUGUCGCCUAUUCCCGAAGCGACGAGUCCCAGUUUGCCUCAAAGUUCCCCGAAAACAAAGAAAAACUCUGUCGACUCGAGCUCGCCCUCAGAGGCUGUUCAGGAUCCAGCGUCGUUCGUGUUUUCCCCAGGUGACCACCAUGAAGCUCAGCCGAUGUCGAAGGCUCUCCAAGGAUCCUCGGUAUCGCUGCGGAGAGAGGAGAGAGGAGAGAAAAACAGAAAAUCCGAAAAUAGUUCAACACAAGAAAACCCGGGAGAAGCUCGUUGCUCCUCCUCCUCCUUUUCUUCUAGUACGACAAACAAUGAGAAUAAGUUUCAAAAUGAGCAAGGAGAAACAUUCGAGGGAGUCGAAGUGGCAAAAAAAGAAUUAAUAUCACUCAAAUCAUCCCCUCCGCCCCUCCCGCUGCCUUCUGUUGACCCAUCUAUGGUCGAGGGGAGUGAGCUGCGGCAACUUGAUUCAGGUGAUACGCUUACUAAAAACUCGCCGGGGACUGAGGCGGAGGCAACAGGAGGAAGGACGCAACAGUGUUUGGCUGCCGCGGGUCGUGUGAGGGUGUGUGGCAGCGCCCCGUCCAGCGUCGCCACCGCCGCCGCCACCACCACCCUCCAGUCUCGCUCCAGCUCCUCCCACUUCCACAACCCCGACGCGACGCACGGCAAGACGAUAGAAAAUUCUGUUCAGUUAACGAGUGACGCAGUUGACAAUAAUGGCAACAUAGAUGCUGGUGGCGCAGUGCAGGGUGAAGGUUUACUAAAAGUGCCGGGAAAGUUGCCACCCAGAGUUGUAGAAGUGAAACACAAAACUGGAGCAGGACCAAGUUUGGAGCCUCCGCCGCCAUGUAACCCCCCUCACAGUGCGGGUAGUGAGGCCUCUGCCACGAACUUAUCAUCUACACAGGAUCCAGAACAGGAGAAGCAAGGAGUUAAGAAAACGCACGCCCCUAAGAACGGGCGUGACGGGCGUGUGUCGGGCGCUGAGCAACAGAGCCUCGCAAACUCUUCUGAGGUUUUUGACAACGCGGACAACGAGAGCAAAGAAAUCGGGGAAAGUGGUAGUUCUUUAAAGCUAAACGACCACAGCCAGGGCGCAAAAAAGGCAGAGGCUAGGACAUCAAUGAGACAGGACGAUGGGAAAGAGGCAGAGGCUCUUGAGGGACCUUGGGCAACGCCGCAGCUGGCCCGAGUCGUGCAGGAGCUUGUCGUCUCCAGGAAAUUCAACAUGUCUUCGUCUCAGGCCAAGAAACGUCAGCAAAAUUUAACACGCUUGGACGCCCAGCAGAAGGAUCGCACACUCAUCUUUGACAGUUCCAGGUUAAUCAAAGCCGAGGACAAAAGUGAAGUCCCUCCAGAGCCACAAAACGAGACCUCUAAAGGUACUCAGAAUCCCAGCCAGGCGCAAAAAUCUGGAUCCAGGAGUGUUUCGAGGAUUAUUGGGAGGAAGAACAGACGAGGCAAUGGCAAUGGGGAGCACUUUGCACACGGCAACCCCACGAAGAAGGGAAAGCAAAACCAACCCCAAGAAAGUAAAACUGCUCGUCUCACUGGAGAAGAGGAAGGGCGCCACAAACAGACAAAGCCACAAAUCAAAGAGAACUCGCAAGAUAAAAAUACAAAAAAUGAGAGUGUGCAACCAGAAGGAAGGGACGGGAACGCUGUUGAGGUUGGUGAGAUAUUAAAAUGCGAAGGCAAUAAAGCGAAACUAGUUGAGCACGAUGACAGCAACACCUUACAGCCGCCCCCAAGGAUUGAACAACUCUCUCGGUCACCGCAGCAUCCGAGGCCCAGGCUGCGCAAGAUCGUCGAGAACUUGACUCUCGUACACAAUCAAGCUUCCCCAAGGAGCUCCCCGCAGCCAGGCUCUCCAGCGUUUAGUUCGUCCCUCAAUUCAUCACCAAGAUUUAUUGAAAACUCACCAAGAUCUCCGUCUGGAGUCUCCCCUUUACCUAUAUCUCCUCGAGCCAGAGCCUCCAAAAUGGUUGCCCUGAGCCCUCGGUUUGUAGAAGCUCUGUCACCGCCUGAAGUAGAAAUAGUCGAUGGGAAGAAUGUCACAGAAGCAAUGCAGGGCGGAAGUAAUCUGCAACAGCACUUUGAGGCAAGAGCCCCUUCCAGCAGUGCCCAAAGAGACAAUGUUCAAAGGGAAGACAACACAAGUAUGCCUCCAACUCCAAGAAAGAGCAAGGAAGAAGAGUUGUUAAGCCCCUUGAGGAGAACGUCAACGCGGAAUGACGCUCCCACUGAACUUAUUUUUAACUUUAUGAAGCUCCCGGAGAUUACCACCGACAGCUGCAGUACCAAAAGUGACCAGAAACUUCCUGGUAGUGAAUCUAGUCCCCAGGCGGAGUCUAAUGCCGGACAAGCUCGAAACAAGGAACGACAACGGGGGCCUGAACUUCAGCCCUCAGAGGUCUCCAAACCGGGCGCUGGAAAGCUGGACUCAGACAUUUUACAGUUUUUCGAGUCGCGGCAAUAUAAGCCCAGAGAGAUAGUGCGAAAUGAAACAUUAAUCACAGAACACUUCAGAGGCACCAACACAAAGUUAAGGACACACGGCGACGGGCGGAACAGGGGAGCUGCUUCACGUAACAUGUCAAAAGGCAGCUCCUGCGAUAUUGAGCCUGGAAGGAGGGAUCGCACCUUCAGUGACCCGAUGGAAAAAUCACCACGAGGAAGUAGAAACGCAGGGAAGCUGAGAUCAGUGAAGAGUUUUGACGACAGUUCAGUGGUGAGAUCAUCUGCAAGUGAAGAAGAGACAGAGGAGGAGAAUGAAACCCGCAAUAUAAAAAAGAGAAAGGAAGAGAUGACACCAGAACGAUCAAAUGGUAAAGGUAAGGCCUCUAAAGCUCAUAUAGAGGUGGCGACUGAAGUGGACGAUGCUAGCGAGUAUAAUAUCUUCAUCACCUCUGUUAAUGACAGCAACAGAGGGAAGACGGAGGCGACAACAGACACCGCUAGACAGCAGCCAACUCCCUCAGCCCGGGACAGGCCACCGAAGACUGAAGAAAGUGAAGAACAAAACAAUAAAAGAAAAGCCUUCGCUGGUAUAUCAGGCAGCCAAAACUUCACGGGGGAAGAAGGUGUUUACUCGGCUACUAACUUUCAGGAGAAUCCUAAAAAGAUUGAAGCUGUGCCCUACAACACCAUUAAGAGCCAAAAUACUUCUGAGAACGGGCAAAGAAACAGCGACAAAGCCACAGACAGGCCUAGUGUGUUAAGUGGCAACUCACCCUCCCCUAAGGGCGUGGGGCUCGAUAUCCUACAAGCUGGUGUUACGCACGGAGCAAAAAAGCAAGGAGGUGAAAGCGAUACCGUCCUCAACGCCACGAAGAGUGUAGAAGAGAUAUCAGACAGGAAGAGGCUGACAAAUAGUAAUGAGGUGAUUGUAACUUCGGAUUCUACCUCCAUCCCGAGUCUUCAGAGGGAGAAGGGCAAAGAGACAACCCCUUCAGUGCCUCGAGUCACUGGAGUCAACCCGUUCAUGGCUGUUGUCCAGGAAUUGCAGGAAAAAGCCGGGAGAGGGGUGGGGAGAAGGAAAGAAGUAGAGUGUGAUGGGGGGUUACCCUUGCAAGACGAUCUUGUUGGUGAGGUUGCCAACUCGCGAUCCACCACGAGUUCCGUUCAUCGGGUCACCCCAGCGUUGCCCCCUCUCCCACCUCCCCCAGAGUCCUCGUCAGGCCUCGCUUCCCUCACAGGGUCACCAGGGAGCAACCCAAAUCUUGAUCACAGACUGGAUGAUAGGAAACCGAAUACAAAGGAUGAGAAACACCAUCAUGACUUGAGUGAGGGCUCUAGAGACGCCUCCAGCGGGACUGAACUAGUGGUAAAGAACCCAGAAGAACUGGAGGGGGCAAAAAAGGCAAGUCGGGAUUCUGUGAUUUUCCAUCUGACAUUGGUGGGUUCUGGCGGCAAGAGAGAAAAGGAUGCUGAACAAAUAACACCGGAGCUUUCCCCACAAAGUAUCGUGAUCCAGAAGAAAAUACAUGCAACGUCUGCAGUGGAAAGUGAGAAGAGGACCUUCCUGGAGACUUGCGUCGACGAUAUUGAGCCGCAACAACAGCAACAGCAAGGCUCACCUUUCCCGUCUCAAGAUGCAUUCAACAAGACCGUAGCAAAAGGAGUAAAAUCUAGUAAGGCUGAUCACAUUACGGGAGAAGAUAUUGAGAAAAUAUAUGAUGUUAUAAACGUGACGGAGACGAAUAAAACUUUCAACCCUGGAAGAGGAGGAGGAGGAGGAGGAGGAGGAGGAAAUGGAGGGACAGGCGAGAGAGCGGGGCGUGGAGGUACUGCCGCUUCCCGUAGACUUCCAAAAUGUCACCGAAGACUCACAAAGACUAUAUCGGAAGGAAGUUUCUCCCUCGAUCAACAAGAACCUGACACCAGCGACUCUUCUAACCAAGACCCUGUGAAGCUUCCUCGACCGCCUUCUUUACUUAGAAGCCGGACAGAGAGCGAGUUUUCCCCUGAGAGAUUGGCGUCAGCUGCUGCCGUGGAGUGUGAGGCUUCAAGCAAAGCGUCGACGGUCAGUGAAAUCUUUGCCCGCGGGGUGUACGGCAGACUCAAGGCCAAGAGUCACAGCGCUGAAAACAUUCGGAUGUCUAGUUUGUCCUGCGUUGAGAUUCCUUUCUCUCAUGAGCCUCCAGCCCUACCCUCCGCCGCCCUAUAUCCCAACGUCUUCUCUUUAUCCUCCUCUUCCUCUUGUCGCAUUGUCGGUGUCUUGAAAAAGAAGCACUCAGCCGAUGACUUCCUUGAUUCCAGGAAGCAAAGAAUGGACAACCAACCUAUUAGAGGCAAUGGAAACAGUCACGGCAAUCCUGGAACAGGCCAGUACCCCUUCGCUCUUGAAUCAGCGUGUGUCAAGGACGAUCAAGCACCACAAGACACAGCAGGUAAUGACAGCAAGCUUCCCACCGCUCCUCCACCAUCAGAGUCGACACAAAGAGACACCACAGUACAUCAGCAAGCGCCGGAGGUACAAGAAAAAAACAUCAGUAGUUCUUCACAGUCAGGAAAGGCAGGAAAAUCGUCUCUUUCCUCGAAUCCAUCGUCAGAAACACCUAUAUACCAAAAUAUACCCGAGGCUCUUCUGUAUCAAAAGAAAACAGAGGCAGCGAUGGUGAAAAACUCGCAGCAAAGUCAGAUGAAAGAGGAACAACAGAAACCAAGUACAGGAGACCAGAAAAAGCCGCUUCAAAAAGUGAUACACAUAUAUGAAAACAUGCCCAUAGUCGCUGGGAGGGAGCCACAGGAGGAAGGAGCUGUCCUCGAAUCUCCAAAGAGGAUCACCCAGCCAGUACCAGAGAGUUCAAUAAGUGGGAAUGACUUUCCGGAAUCCACAGGCUCAUCCAGUUUGCCUUCCACCUCUCCCAUAAGCGAUGUCUUCUUUCCAUCCAAACGCGCCACUUUUGAGAAGACUUCCUUGAGGCGAAAGCAACAACCAGAAUCCGAAAGCAGAAUUGAGAAGCAAAAAUCGAACUAUAUGAAGCAAAGAUCAGUAAGAGUUGGGAUCCUCAAGAAGCAGAAGUCAGAUAUUACUGGAGUGCGACUUCAGAAGCUCCAGUACUUCGACACGGAGUUGCCUGGAGAGCUGCGGAGGUCUUAUUCACUAAGCGGCAACGGUGUCCAGAACAAGGAGCCGAGAUCUCCCAAGAAUGGCCCAGAGGACGAUACAGGUCCUGACAUUCCGGACACUGACGCCAAACAGAGAGGAGAGGGCAAGGAGGAACUAAGUGACCUUGAACGUAGGUGUCACAGCUCUAUCAGCAAUACCAGCAGAAGCAGCACCAUUGACCGGAUUUUGCAGAGUUGUGCACCUUGCAUAUCCAGUAACACCACCAGCUCAACCCUCGACCUCUCCUCUCCUCUCCCCCUCUCUCAGUCUCCGCAGAAAAAAAAUGUCUUUUACUCCGGAGGUGAAAGCACCGGCGGGACAGCGGGGCGUCUAGUACGUCGACAGCAUCCGCGGGCGAAGCACCCAUACAAAUCUUCUUACUCAUCCUCUGACGUAACCUUGCUAAGCUCUGGUGCAUUGCCUGAAGCCUCCCAUGGAGCCAACUUUGGCAAGCAGCCUACCAAAGCAGUACAAGAAAAUUCCUUCAAAGCAGCAUAUCACAAGGGCCAGUCAGCCCCAGAGCAGGUACCCAGGACAGCAGAACCCGCCGAGUCUUGCUAUAUCAACAGUAGUCAGGACACAGGAAGCACCUCAGGACUGGCCUCAUCAGAAACCUCCAGCAGCCUUGAUGAAGCGGCCAACAACAGCAAACAGAAUAUGAAAGACGACGGCUUCGCCGGUUGUGACAGAGACAGCUGCACGCCAACCCCGGAACAAAGCGGCGGUCCAAAUGGUGAUACAGAUUUUUACAGCGAAUUACUUGACACCAUCCUUAGUGUUGUCGACGCACAAGAGCAAUCCUUCUCUGCGGAAGUCGAGAAUCUGUGUUUCUCAGAAGAGGCUGAAAACUUGGGUGCCUCAGAAGGAGCAGCGUCACGUCUCAGCGAGAGGCGAGGCAACCAAGUGCAGGAUAAUGGAGACAACAAUAAGGCGAAGAAUCAUAAAAAACACCCCACCGCCGUGACCAGUGACUCAGACUCCACCACCAGCGUCGACUCAGAGUUGGCGGAGGUUCGCCGUCGCAUCACGGAGAGGUUUCCCCCCGCCCCACGCGCAGACCCCGAGGCCAGCCAGGAGUCCGUGCUGGCAUCCCCGAGUGCCGUGUGUCCCAUGCCAGACUGUGCCGCCUGUCGCUCCAUAAACUUCUCCGAGCCUUUAGUGUUUGCCUUUGACCAACCCAUCACGCCCCCAGUCCACUGUGAGCCUGAGCGCGCCUCAAGCCUUCCCUUUGUUGACCACGCCAUUAUCAAAACCAGCAGCGACCACUUCAUUCGCUCCACCAGCCUCCCGCACGAUCCAGACAUCUAUCACAGCACCCAGGUCAUGUGCCGCCACGACCAGGACGAAGAGGAGUACUGGAGUGCUGGGGAAGAGACGGCACGAGGCACUCCGCAAGGCACUCCGCGUCACCAUUCUGCGUUUCAAGGUCAUUUACCUCAGCAUUUGAAACAUCAGCCAAAACCAGUUCCCUUGCGCAAUGAGCUGUCGUCACUCGAAGACUCGAUGACGAAAGCCUCGUCACUGCAAGACUCUUCGCUGCAGGACUCCUCACCGCAUGACUCCUCUCCGCUUACAGACUCCGGCGUUGAGAUUAAAGAUCACAGCGAGCUAACAAGCAACCAGCUGGUGGAGGAAGUGUCUCAGCUGCGCCUCGAGAAUGAGAAGCUGUCGGCGAGGAACCGUAACCUGCAGAGUGAGGUGGAGGAGCUGCGGCGGGUGAAGGAAAGCAGGGGGGAGGAUGACGCUUCCCUCAAACCCAAGAUCGGUGAGAUGACGGUGGAGCUGACGCAUGCCAAGGAGGCGCUCUCGGCAUUGAAAGCAGACAGGAAGCGCCUGAAGGCAGAGAAAUUCGACUUACUGAACCAAAUGAAGCAACUGUACGCCACUCUGGAGGACAAGGAGAAGGAGCUGAGGGACUUCAUUCGGAAUUAUGAACAGCGGAUGAAGGACAGCGACGAGUCCCUCCGCCACCUGGCCGCCGAGAGAGACGAGACAGAGCGGGAAAAGUGGAGCAUCCUCAAGCAUGCGAGAGACGAGUCCGAGAGGGUCGUCAAACUCUCAACGCAGCUCAGCCUCAAGGAAGCCACUGUAAAGAAGCUCCAGGAAGAACUUGACAUGGUCCGGAAGCAGCUCAACUCUGUGGGUUACUACAGUGAUGCAGAGUCUGUCAGGACCAAUGGCUUGCCCACACCUACUGCCUCCACCCCCACCUGCUCUCCGCUACCCGUUGCCACCCCCACGCCAACCCCCAAUGGACGGGGGUCUUCGGCUGACUCCGGUGUGAGGCUCUCCAGUGACCGGGAGUCCACUGCCAGCCAUGAUGGCGCCCCCUUCCUACUCCUGGACCGUGGGUCUGUGGAUUGUGAUUCAUAUCGAUGUGCUGCCGUUCCCCAGUACCUCUAUUAUGCCUGUGGGCCAGGCACCCCUAAAGAGUCCCCCUCACUCUCCCCCCUGUAUGCCACUCCUGCGUAUUGCCGGGCAGGGGAUGACCAGUCUGGCAGAGGGGACAGAACACCUACCAGUGUACAAACUCCUGCACCCAUGAGUGGCCUUGCUAACAGUAGUGCCAAUGCCGGGGGACUGAGCCGUUCUGCUGAGCAUUUGUGUGAGCGUCUAAGUGAAGGUGGUGAGGUCUCCAAAGCACAAGGCACCAGCACACUAAUGCGCAAAAAUCACAAGAGUGGUGGCACUUGGGGUUCCAUCUCUAGGGUAUUUGCAAGACAGAAGAAACGAGCUGCACUGGACACCUCAAUAUAUGAUGGAGUCUCCAGCUCAGAAGACCUGCCUUCAGACUUCACUCUAGAGGACAUCAAAAACCCUUAACCUUACUUACUAAUGUGUGUCCUAAUGUGCCUUCAUUUGCUUUAUAUGUCCUUAUCUGUCUAUAUAUGUCCCUGUCAUUGAGUUAGUACCUCAUACAACAUGCCAGUAUGUAUUCAUGUCUUGUUUUCAGUUUGUUUGUGUGCCAAAAAAAUGGCAUUUGAGAAUGCAUUUAAAAGUAUGCUGUGGACUUCAUACACUUGCAUUAACUACAGUAUUAUAUAUAAUAUAUGUGUAUACACACACACACACACACACACACACACACACACACACACUGUUUGUUUGCCACACACAGUCUGUUUGCCGAUGACGCCAAGAUACUGAGAAGAGUGGAAAAAGAGGAAGACUGCUUGCUGCUCCAGGGAGACCUGGACACAGUGUGGGAAUGGAGCAGGAAGUGGGAAAUGUAUUUUAAUACCAAAAAGUGCAGUGUUAUUGAAUUUGGAAAGAGUGCAAUGAGAGUAGAGGGGCAUUAUAAGUUGGGUAAGGAUAAGUUAGAUAAGAAGACAGAAGAAAAAGACCUUGGAGUGAUGAUCACAGAGAACUUGUCUCCAGAAAGACAUGUGAAUAAAAUAUCAGCUGAGAUAUACAACCUGCUGAGGAACAUCAGAGCAGCGUUCACAUACCUUGAUGAGGACAUGGUAAGAAAAUUAAUUGUGACCUUGAUACGCCCUGACUAGAAUAUGCAUCAGUGGCUUGGUCACCAUCACUUAAGAAACACAUUAGAAAACUGGAGAGGAUACAGAGAGCGGCAACAAAAAUGGCACCUAGUCUGAGCGACCUGCCUUAUGAAAAAGGAUUGCCGAGGCUGAACCUCCCUACAUUGGAAAUUAGAAGAGAAAGAGGAGAUUUAAUAGCGGUGUAGAGGGUGAUGAAUGGUCUAGAGAAAUUGGAUAGAGAUGACCUUUUGAUAAGUGAAGAGAGAAACUUAAGAGGAAAUGGAAAGCUGUUGAGAAAAGGAAUUUGUUGAAGAGACAUCAAGAAAAACAGCUUCCCGCAGAGAUGUGUGGAGGUCUGGAGUUGGCUGGAGAGGGAAGUGGUACAGGCUAAGUCAAUAAGCACAUUUAAGGCCAAAUUAGACGGAAGUAGUUGGAAAGACGGGACAGCACGAGCAUAGCUCCGUUCCUGUAGAUUACAACUAGGUAAAUACACACACACACACACACACACACAAAACAAGCACAUAAACAAGCUGUUUGGAGAAACCUACAAGACGAUGCAAAAUAUAAGGGUAUCAUUCCACUUUAUGGACAAAGAAAUGAUGUAGAAAAUAAUAACAACAAUGACAAGACAAAAGCUUGAAUAUACUGCAGUUGUGUGGUCGCCUCACAAAAAGAAGAUCAGAAAGCUGGAAAGGAUGCAGAGAAUUGCAACUAAAAUGGUCCCAGAACUCUUGAAUAUGAUGUAUGAAGACAGAUUGAAGGAGAUGGACUUGACGACACUGGAACAAAGAAGGGAGAGAGGAGAUCUGAUCAUGCUGUAUAAGUUGGUAAAUAAGUUUGAUGAGGCAGAUAGAGAUGAUCUCUUCUUAAAUGUGAAAAUGCAGGGGCUGAGAGGACAUAGGAAGAAACUUAAUAAAGGAACCUGUUUGAGUGACUUGAAAAAGUAUAGUUUUCCACAUAGAAGUGUUAACACAUGGAACGAGAAGAGGUGGUAGAGGCGAACAGUGUCCAACAAAUGAAGGAAAGGCUGGAUAAAUGUAGAUAUGGAGACGGGACCAUUAGAGCUUAGCUCGGGCCCGGUAGACUACAAAUAGGUAAAUACAAAUCAGUAAACACACACACACACACACACACACACCUUUAAGUCUAAGUAACACAAAAGUAGAUAUGGAGACAGGUUAACAUGAGAUUAACUCAAAUCCUGUAUACUACAACUAGCUAGGUAAAUGCACACACACACACACACACACACACACACUCACCACACACACUCACAUUCCCAUUCUCUGAAUUUCAUUGUUUAGAGACUGGUUGUUUAAAAAAUGUCAAGUAUGAUUAAUUAGCCACAGAAGCAUUUUAUAGCACUCUGUUCUUUCCAAGGGUGAGUUUUGUUCCCUAAUUACUUCUUUUAAUUGCACUGAUUUUAUAAGAGAAUAUAUGUUAUGAUAGUUUAUUGAUGAGAAAUUUUGAUAAUAACCAAAUUUUAAUAUAUUGUAAAUUUUUACUGAGCUUUUGGCAAAAAAAAAAAAUCAGCAUUCAAGAGUUAAAGGAUUUAUGGUUCAUUUUUAUGACAAAGUUCAUAAAAAUUUCCAUGAUUUUAUGAUGCAAUAUUCAGAUUUACAUUUUAAUAGUGUCUGCAUGUUUGGACAUGAGAUGAUCAUAGUUUGGUUUGGAUUUAGGCAAGCAAAGUAGUAAUGAUUUUCAAAAGAAUAAUUUCUACAAUUUAGACCAGCAACUGCAAUUUUUCCACUUUUCUACAAGCAGCAUCUGUGAGGUGUUUUAUUCACCUGUGUUACAUGUAUAGCGAAACAUUUCUUUUUCAUGGUAUACUAGUAACAGAAAACAUACAUUUAUUCUAUUAUAUGUACUACUAAACAUAUACAUACUUUAUCCACAUGUAAAUUUGGAUGUAGCUUUACAUUUCAGUGGCAUUAAUGGCAAAAUGAAGUUGAGAUGUCUUGUUGUCUAAUGUUAAAGAAACUAUUGACUUUAUUCAUAUACUUUCAUAUUUGUUUUUAUGAUUUUUUAGGUAACCUCUGUGAUUAAUCUGUUUAUUGUAUAGAUGGAUAACACAGAAAAAGCUCCAUUGGAGUCAGUAUGCACUGACCACGCGUUGCCAAAAUACUGCCGUAACUUUGAAUACAAUGAAAAAUUAAGGAUUCGUGUAGGUAUAAAUGUAAAGAGCAUAAUUUCACUGUACUACUUGAUGUUGUGUUUUGUAUAUGUACAAGUUUUUACAACUAACAUUUGAUUACAGUACACUUAAAACUGUUGAACACUUACUGUUAAGAAACACCAUCAACACUUAAUGAACGUAAUUUUUUUCAUUUUGCUAUCGCACAGACACAUAGUCACAGUCAAUAUUUGUAACUUACAGUACCUUGAGGUGUGAAAGAUAAAAAAGCGUAUGGAUUUAGUCAUACGCAGGAUGUAUAAUGGGGCAGUACUUCUACCUAGUGUAUUUUUAUGUACCUCACAAAGCAUUGUGGAAGUAUAUACUAUUAAGGAGUUAUUUUUCUUACAGUGAUGUUCCAAAAGUAUGAUAUGACUUAAAUGUAGUGUUAUUAAGUGGCUUUGACAGCUUUUUGUUUUAUGAUAGCUUGUAACAAUCAGGGUCAUUUACAAUAUGAUUGCAAUUGAUACCAAUUGAAAGGGGCAGUGUUCUGAAGAUAAUUGGGAGGCAGUUGUUUGACAUUCCAAUGUUUCUUAUGAAACAAUAAAGAAAUUAGAUAUUU
Eriocheir sinensis (Chinese mitten crab) is the source of this 12468-nucleotide RNA transcript. It is a transcript of the gene named kazrin-like, with no coding region annotated. The record is from RefSeq and is a predicted model, not a curated record. The transcript has 10 exons. NCBI's taxonomy places the organism in Eukaryota, Metazoa, Arthropoda, Malacostraca, Decapoda, Varunidae.